Molecule: long non-coding RNA, 1163 nt
Organism: Rhododendron vialii
Lineage: Eukaryota; Viridiplantae; Streptophyta; Magnoliopsida; Ericales; Ericaceae
Exons: 2
Source: RefSeq, a predicted model, not a curated record
CAUGUAUUCAUUCCUUAUGCUACUUUCUACUGAUUUCAUGUAUGCACAGUUAUGAGUGUAACAGUUAGUAGGGUGUAGAAGUGUUUGGCUUAAAGCCUAUAAAAAAGGUUAACUGCAGGUUGAGCUUUCUGAGCCUGAUGAGGAAAUACGACGACGAGAUUGAAAAGCAGGCUAAUUACACAAGAAAGGUUUACCUAGUUUGCCUUAAAGGCUAACGCCUGAGUUAACGGGAGAAAGAAAUAGGAGUUGAACCCCACAAUGCUACUACCUUGCUGCACCUACCUUCCCACAAUACUACAACCUUACUGCACCUACUUGCAGCUACCCAAGCAUUGGACCAACUGUCACGAUUAUGCAUAAAAGUUCACCACUGUAGAAAUGUAGUCGCCACUAUUCUCCCCAUUACGAUAGUCAUCCCACUAUUUUCCCUAAUAAGAAGCGGAAACGCAUUUGCUCAACACCAUAGUGAAGGGAGAAAAUGGAUCUUUGCUUGUGCAAUUGUUUUCUUCUAACAACUACAUUGGAGUGUUCUUUAUUUAUCUUUAUUUUUACGGCUAACUGAGAGCUUUAUUCAGUAAGAAAAUGUCAAGUGAAUCUCCAAAAACUCAUAACUAAAUCAAAACAGGCCAACCAAAUUCUAGAAGGGAACUAAAGGCUACCGAGGAGCAAAAAUACAAUGUGGAAUCAGCCAGUUUUUACAAUUAAAAGAAGGCAGAUCAGAGGCCUCAACACUCCAGCUCUGACAAGCCUCAAUAACAGACUUCAAACUUAAUCUGAUCAAUAAUAGAAAAAGGGGAUCUCUUAAGUCCUAUGGACAUACAGUUAAUCCCCUCUUGGCCAAGAACAUGAACCAUUGCAGCCAAUAGUACUUUCCUGAGUAUAUAAUAGAAAAAGGGGAUCUCUAAAGGUCUUUGAGUAUAUGGCUAAACCCCCCUUGGCAAAGAAAAUAAACCCAUAGCAGCCAAUGUAACUUUCGUGAGUAUAUUGGGAAAGCUUUUCCCACAGACCUUAGAUCAGAACCGUAAGCUUUUUUAGUCCAUGGAUAGGGCUGGUAGGAGUAUUGCAAAGGCGAGAAAUAUAUUCACAAACAUUAUUAGAGAGCACCCAAAGGAUGAGGUGGUCCAAAAUUUUAUCAAUCGUUGCAUAGAGGACAAAAAGAAAUA